Molecule: ribosomal RNA, 757 nt
Filed under: Ralstonia solanacearum
Lineage: Bacteria; Pseudomonadati; Pseudomonadota; Betaproteobacteria; Burkholderiales; Burkholderiaceae
Description: bacterial SSU rRNA
Rfam family: Bacterial small subunit ribosomal RNA
Source: RNAcentral
AUUGAACGCUGGCGGCAUGCCUUACACAUGCAAGUCGAACGGCAGCGGGGGUAGCUUGCUACCUGCCGGCGAGUGGCGAACGGGUGAGUAAUACAUCGGAACGUGCCCUGUAGUGGGGGAUAACUAGUCGAAAGACUGGCUAAUACCGCAUACGACCUGAGGGUGAAAGUGGGGGACCGCAAGGCCUCAUGCUAUAGGAGCGGCCGAUGUCUGAUUAGCUAGUUGGUGGGGUAAAGGCCUACCAAGGCGACGAUCAGUAGCUGGUCUGAGAGGACGAUCAGCCACACUGGGACUGAGACACGGCCCAGACUCCUACGGGAGGCAGCAGUGGGGAAUUUUGGACAAUGGGGGCAACCCUGAUCCAGCAAUGCCGCGUGUGUGAAGAAGGCCUUCGGGUUGUAAAGCACUUUUGUCCGGAAAGAAAUCGCUUCGGUUAAUACCUGGAGUGGAUGACGGUACCGGAAGAAUAAGGACCGGCUAACUACGUGCCAGCAGCCGCGGUAAUACGUAGGGUCCAAGCGUUAAUCGGAAUUACUGGGCGUAAAGCGUGCGCAGGCGGUUGUGCAAGACCGAUGUGAAAUCCCCGGGCUUAACCUGGGAAUUGCAUUGGUGACUGCACGGCUAGAGUGUGUCAGAGGGAGGUAGAAUUCCACGUGUAGCAGUGAAAUGCGUAGAGAUGUGGAGGAAUACCGAUGGCGAAGGCAGCCUCCUGGGAUAACACUGACGCUCAUGCACGAAAGCGUGGGGAGCAAACAGG